This 2583-nucleotide long non-coding RNA is filed under the name Nicotiana benthamiana. RNAcentral's name for it is "long non-coding RNA (NBEN_LNC032802)". The record is from RNAcentral. Lineage: Eukaryota; Viridiplantae; Streptophyta; Magnoliopsida; Solanales; Solanaceae.
UCAAACUCCUUUUAUGCGAAAGCGGGGGACCUCCCGCGAUCGCAAAGCAUAAACACCUACAACUGUUGGGAUGAAAAAUCUGCAACUCCAAAGUGCCAAACAUGGUCCGAUUGACCAUCCAAAACUCACCCGAGGUCCACAAGACCUCAAAAAAAAGUACCAACACAUCCUAAAACCUCAUCCCAACUUGUUCCAAUCAUCAAAACACCUCAAACAACACCAAAACCAUCAAAUUACAUUGAAUUCAAGCCUAAGUUCUUCUAAAACCUCUUAAAUAUGCUUUCAAUUAAAACUCGACCAAAUGACGUCCGAAUGAUCUAAAAUUUUGCACACAUAUCCAAAAUGACAUAACGAAGCUACAUCAACUCUCAGAAUUCCAUUUCGGCUCUUGGAUCAAAAUUUCACCUACCAACCGGAAUUCGCCAAACUACUAACUUCAUCAAUUCAAAACAAAUUCUACACCAGACCUCCAAAACUAAUUUUGAUCACACUCCUAAGUCAUAAAUCACCUAAAAAAGCUAACUAAAUCAUAAAAAUUUUGAUCCAGGAUCAUAUACAAAUAAGUCAACUCUUGCUCAAACCUUUCAAAUUCCAAGCUUUCAAUUGAAACUGUUCUUCCAAAUUCAUUCCGAUUUUUCCUGAAAUCAAAACGAACGAUCUAUAUCAGCCAAAAUACAUCAAACAAAGCAAGUCGUGCCCGAGAACUAACGAUCAAAACACAAAAUCUCAAUACAACUGGUCGGAUUGAUACACACAAUCGCUCGAUUAUUAUAUUGGCCUAAUGAUCUGAUUAAUUACCCAUAAUAAUUCUAUGUGCAUUUUUAAUUUUAUAAUUUCUUUUAUUUAUUUUAUGUAAGAUUUCAACGUCAUCUAAAAUAUGUCUUUGGACCACGCCAUAUAAAAUGCACUCGUAGUCCGAGAUAUAUUCUUUUUAACGUUGCUAAGACUUGGACUUGGGUCACAUGAAAUGCACAUCCGAUUUUAGCAAGGUAAUUUUUAAAAUAGCACGCCUAAAGCAACUAUGCACUUUCGACUUUGCGAGAGCCAUGAAAAUUCGCUAAUGGCACACCUCGAUUACAAGAAAAUUAAGAUUAACUAUCUGAGGGUCAUGGAUUAUCUAGUUUUUGUUCAAGGCACACCUCAAGUCUAAAUAAAGGGCCUAGUUAAUUAAACAACUAAAGGGAAUAUCAAAUUAAUCUAAUGCAAAUGCCUCAGUUCAAUUGUACAUCAGCUAACUGGAAUUGCAGAACUACUCAAUUCAUUUCGAAUAUAUCUUGGGCCAGUAGAAAUACUCAAUAGAGAUAACCAUAUUCCAAAAAAAUGGCCAUAUGUGAUAAACCAAACAACGGUCCAAUCCACAAAGGCCUUCAGGCUUGGCUCAAGUGAGCCCAAAUUGGUGAAACAACAAGCACCGCACGAGGGUGUGUAAUUGAAUUCUAUUGUUAUUCAGUUGGGCCAGUGUUUGGUUUAGUUCUUGUGAUCCAAAUAGUUCACGCCCAAGUCAAAUAACGCAAAUCAAACUGGCGUUAACAUAGAACACGCGAUCGAAUGCCAAGUUUAAACUAUGAUUUAAAAGAUUUGACACAAAUUAACUAAACUAAAGUUCUAAUUUUAUCUUAUGCAUUCUUCAGUGCAAUCUGCUACAAGAGUAAUCCAGCAACAACAACACGGGAUAUUGGGCUCAGCGGACAAGCCUAAUGCAUCAAAGUAUCAUCCUCUCUUGUAAAUGGCCACAAAAUCUAAGACUCCCUGAACCUAAGUCUUGCAAAACCAAAAUUGGGAAUCAAGACUCAAUGUCGAGUCCUAUCCAACCAGAAGCCUCAACAGGCUAUUAGCUCACCAAACAUUCUUAACUUCAAUUGCAGUGAUAACAAAACAAACAGAGGUUUAAACUUGUAUUUAACUUCGAGACUAAUCUCACAAAUAAAUGUAGGAAAUUUAAACUCAUUUAGACCAUUUAAAUGGCAGUUUAAACCAAGUAAAAUAUAACAAAGCUUUCCAAAUUGCAAAGUAGAACCCUGGAUAGUACAUAAACAUGACAAUUUCUAAUUUCAAACUAGAGGAGCAUCGAAUUAACACACUCAAACAGCCACUAUAGCACAGUUUUUAAACAAACAAAUCUACAGCAUGCUUAAAUCUACUGAGUUUCCUGCAAUAAUGAUUUUCUAGCACCCAAAACAUGAUCAAAACAUUCAAUACAUCUAAAAUAAGCAAAUGACUGCUCAAAACUAUGGCAGAAAUUAAAACUACAAAUAAAUAAGAACCAAAUAGCUAACAUAAGCAUAUCAUAUUGAUUUUCAGUCAGCUGAGCUUACUUACAUUGUUCAACAAAAUCUCACCUACAACUUCAAUAGUUCAGAAGAAAUACUUGUGAAACAAAAAGGGAAACAAAGAGAAAUGAGGGUUCAGCAAGCAGCAAACAACAGAACAAUAUCCAAAUUUGAUGAUACAGUACCAAAACCAAACCAGCUCGAACCCAACUUUCUAAAUCCAAAAGCUCAAAACCAUUUUUACUAAAAUGCAGGAAUUCGUAGUUUUUAGGGGUUCUAGCUAAUAGGGAAGGUCAGAAAUGCAGAAAUCAAG